GACGAACGCUGGCGGCGUGCUUAACACAUGCAAGACGAACGGAAAGGCCCUGCUUUUGUGGGGUGCUCGAGUGGCGAACGGGUGAGUAACACGUAAGUAACCUGCCCUUGACUUUGGGAUAACUUCAGGAAACUGGGGCUAAUACCGGAUAGGAGCUCCUGCUGCAUGGUGGGGGUUGGAAAGUUUCGGCGGUUGGGGAUGGACUCGCGGCUUAUCAGCUUGUUGGUGGGGUAGUGGCUUACCAAGGCUUUGACGGGUAGCCGGCCUGAGAGGGUGACCGGCCACAUUGGGACUGAGAUACGGCCCAGACUCCUACGGGAGGCAGCAGUGGGGAAUAUUGCACAAUGGGCGGAAGCCUGAUGCAGCAACGCCGCGUGCGGGAUGACGGCCUUCGGGUUGUAAACCGCUUUCGCCUGUGACGAAGCGUGAGUGACGGUAAUGGGUAAAGAAGCACCGGCUAACUACGUG
This 468-nucleotide ribosomal RNA is filed under the name uncultured bacterium. RNAcentral's name for it is "partial 16S ribosomal RNA". It matches the Rfam family "Bacterial small subunit ribosomal RNA", at positions 28 to 507 of the family's 1533-position model. The record is from RNAcentral.